AUUGAACGCUGGCGGAAUGCUUUACACAUGCAAGUCGGAGCGGCAGCGCGGGGCAACCUGGCGGCGAGCGGCGAACGGGUGAGUAAUGCAUCGGAACGUACCCCGUCGUGGGGGAUAACUACCCGAAAGGGUAGCUAAUACCGCAUACGACCUGAGGGUGAAAGCGGGGGACCGAAAGGCCUCGCGCGAUGGGAGCGGCCGAUGCCGGAUUAGCUAGUUGGUAGGGUAAAGGCCUACCAGGGCGACGAUCCGUAGCUGGUCUGAGAGGACGACCAGCCACACUGGAACUGAGACACGGUCCAGACUCCUACGGGAGGCAGGCAGUGGGGAAUUUUGGACGAAUGGGCGAAAGCCUGGAUCCAGCCAUUCCGCGUGAGUGAAGAAGGCCUCGGUUGUAAGCCGUUUAGUACCGGUAGAAAGUAC
This 423-nucleotide ribosomal RNA is filed under the name uncultured bacterium. Its description in RNAcentral is "bacterial SSU rRNA". It matches the Rfam family "Bacterial small subunit ribosomal RNA", at positions 29 to 453 of the family's 1533-position model. The record is from RNAcentral.